Molecule: ribosomal RNA, 440 nt
Filed under: uncultured bacterium
Lineage: Bacteria
Description: bacterial SSU rRNA
Rfam family: Bacterial small subunit ribosomal RNA
Source: RNAcentral
CCUACGGGAGGCUGCAGUCGGGAAUUUUGGGCAAUGGGCGAAAGCCUGACCCAGCAACGCCGCGUGAAGGAUGAAGUAUUUCGGUAUGUAAACUUCGAAAGAAUGGGAAGAAUAAAUGACGGUACCAUUUAUAAGGUCCGGCUAACUACGUGCCAGCAGCCGCGGUAAUACGUAGGGACCAAGCGUUGUUCGGAUUUACUGGGCGUAAAGGGCGCGUAGGCGGUCCUGCAAGUCACUUGUGAAAUCUCCGGGCUUAACUCGGAACGGCCAAGUGAAACUGCAAGACUAGAGUGCAGAAGGGGCAAUCGGAAUUCUUGGUGUAGCGGUGAAAUGCGUAGAUAUCAAGAGGAACACCUGAGGUGAAGACGGGUUGCUGGGCUGACACUGACGCUGAGGCGCGAAAGCCAGGGGAGCAAACGGGAUUAGAUACCCUGGUAGUC